Molecule: ribosomal RNA, 492 nt
Filed under: uncultured bacterium
Lineage: Bacteria
Description: partial 16S ribosomal RNA
Rfam family: Bacterial small subunit ribosomal RNA
Source: RNAcentral
AGUGAACGCUGGCGGUAGGCCUAACACAUGCAAGUCGAACGGCAGCACAGUAAGAGCUUGCUCUUACGGGUGGCGAGUGGCGGACGGGUGAGGAAUACAUCGGAAUCUACUUUUUCGUGGGGGAUAACGUAGGGAAACUUACGCUAAUACCGCAUACGACCUACGGGUGAAAGCAGGGGAUCUUUGGACCUUGUGCGAUUGAAUGAGCCGAUGUCGGCUUAGCUAGUUGGCGGGGUAAAGGCCCACCAAGGCGACGAUCCGUAGCUGGUCUGAGAGGGUGAUCAGCCAGACUGGAACUGAGACACGGUACAGACUCCUACAGGGAGCAGCAGUGGGGAAUAUUGGACAAUGGAGGCAAGCCUGAUCCAGCCAUACCGGGUGGGUGAAGAAGGCCUUCGGGUUGUAAAGCCCUUUUGUUGGGAAAGAAAAGCAGCAGGUUAAUACCCCGCUGUUCUGACGGUACCCAAAGAAUAAGCACCGGCUAACUUCGUG